RNAcentral lists this ribosomal RNA (253 nucleotides) under uncultured bacterium. Its description in RNAcentral is "partial 16S ribosomal RNA". It matches the Rfam family "Bacterial small subunit ribosomal RNA", at positions 524 to 776 of the family's 1533-position model. The record is from RNAcentral.
UACGGGGGAUGCAAGCGUUAUCCGGAAUGAUUGGGCGUAAAGCGCCUGUAGGUUGUUUAUCAAGUCCGUUGUUAAAGACCAGGGCUUAACCCUGGGAGUGCAAUGGAAACUGUUAGACUUGAGUAUGGUAGGGGUAGAGGGAAUUUCUAGUGUAGCGGUGAAAUGCGUAGAUAUUAGAAAGAACACCAGUGGCGAAAGCGCUCUACUGGGCCAUUACUGACACUGAGAGGCGAAAGCUAGGGGAGCGAAAGGG